This 3929-nucleotide long non-coding RNA is filed under the name Coffea arabica (coffee). RNAcentral's name for it is "long non-coding RNA (CARA_LNC001301)". Lineage: Eukaryota; Viridiplantae; Streptophyta; Magnoliopsida; Gentianales; Rubiaceae. The record is from RNAcentral.
AAAGAAUGUAUCAUGGUAUCGUCUCUCUCUGAUGCUGCUGUUAUAAAUUUUAACACCAGGGAAAUAGAAAAAAAUAAUAAUAAAAGAAACAGUACAAUUUACAGAAAUACAGAUCCAAAUAUUAGCACUAUUUCCCAAAAUUCCCCCAACACGUCUUCCCCUGCCUCCCCAUUCCUCCCUUGCUCCUGCUCUCUUCUUCAUAUCUGUCUUCCUCUGAACCCAAAUUUUGCCUCUUAAAACAGCUUUUCCUAUGAGGAUUAGAAGAAAAUCAUCAUUAAUCUCUGCUUCUCCAUCAUCAUCCUCUUCCUAUUCUUCACCAUCACCUACAUCAGCAUCUUCAAAUUGUUCAAGUUCAUCAAUCACCGCCAACUCCUUAGCUUCUUCCAUAGAUUCAUCAUCCUCCUCCACCCCACCAAAUUUCUGUCCAAUUUCAUCAGGUAUAAGUGCUUCUUCCAGUUCUAAACGCUGCCAAGGCCUUGAUCUGCUUGUCAAGGCAAUCCACCUUGUUACAGCGGGCUCUGUUGUGGGAGUCCCUUAUAUUCAAAGAAGAGUUGUCAGAAGAAGAAAAGCAGCUGUGAAAUUCAAUCAUGGACUUAUUUUGAGCAAAUUUCAGGUUCUUAAUCGGGAACCAGAGGAAGAAGAGAUGAUGAAUCAAGUGAAAUCUAGGACAAGAUCAAUGUCCAGAAGGCAAAGCAGAGCAGUGGGAUUUCCAUCUAAGCAUCAAGAUUCUGUUCUUCAGACGUGGAUGCUGAAAAAUCGGAGGCAGAGAUCUAUCAAGAUUGGUGAUGAAAUGUGUUCUUGAGCUAGUUAAUUUUUUGUGGGUACUAGAAAUUUUUGUUCUUUUCUGAUCUUAGAUGAUCAUUUCCUUUGGCCCUGAUAUUAGAUUUAAUAGUAGUUAGAUGUUGUUGUACUGCUCUUCUUCUACUGUUUGAUGCAUAAUUUAUAGCUAUUUUUUUGCUUAGAUUCUUGAUUUGAUUCGAACUUACCAAGAUCAAUGAGAAAAAUCAAAUUUUGGAUCUUUUUGGAUUAGUGAAUUUAUAUGGGAGCUAUUGGUUAUUUAUGAUUUUAGAGGGGAAAGGUUCAAGAUUUGUUUCUUGUAGGUGAAUGAAUUUUGCUACUUGCCAUUUUCUUCUUGUACAAAUUUCUUUAGUUGUUUUCGUUUCUUUUUAUUGAUAUGUUCUGUCGAUAGAAGGCAACUCAAUAUCUAUCUUCUUUGGCUUACUGCUUAAUUUGAACGAAAUUCUGCAUUCCUGUUACUCAUCCUUACUGAAGAAUAGUUUGGAUCUUGUUAUAUUUGUGCAUUUGCCAAUGAAUUGACAUUCUAACAUUGCUCUUGAAGAUGCUAAAUGCGCAUUAAAUGGUAGCUUGGGUUAACAAUUUUUGCUUCUUGAUCAGCUCAGAAUUAGCUAGAAGUUGUACUUUCCUGAGUUGAGGUGCCUUUAAACCGUGUCUCUUUGGAUGGAUGACAUCUCUAUCUGAGAUGAAGUUUUGAAGUCUACUUAGAAAGUAGGAAUACUGCAGCUGUAGAUGCCUGAACUCUGAUGAUUCCUAGUAGCUCAGCUGCAGUUUAAAAAGACGGUCAUUUUGGUUGGAGUCCUCUGUAGUUCCUCAAAUCAGCUUGCAGGUUUUUGAGAAAUUAGCUUGCUCUGUCUUACUUUUGGGUUCUGCGUCUCCGAAUCCAGCUUCGCCCAUGCUCUAUCCUAUGGUAACAUGAUUUUUAAGGGAUUCUAGCAUUUUUUUCUGUGACUUUGGUAUCACCUGCCUUGUCUUUGGCAGAUUAGCACAUACAAGGUCCUAUAAUAGUCCCUCAAACUGUUGCCAGAAGUUAAAAAUGAUCAGAUCUAAAUUCGUUUGCCUGCAACUUCUGGUCUCAAUCCUUUGUGAUUUAAUUUUUUUCACAAAGUGCAAUAUAAUUUCAUUCUUCUCUGUGAUUGGUCUAUUACACGUGUAACCACUUGAAGACAUCAAACAAAAGCAUGAAAGGGAGUAUGAGAACCAAGAAUACUUUGCUAUACUAAUACUGAAGACCAAUUCCUUUAAUUUAGCAAAAGUCAUUUAUAAAUGCAAUUGCAUUGCCGUGAAACAUAUAGAUACCGUCUAUAUAUAGAGACAAAUUCCUUUAAUGUAGCAAAAGUCAAUGCCGGUGGUUUGCUUUGUUCAAAAUAGGGAUAAAUCAAUCUGGCAAUGGAAUGUCACAUGCUACUUCCACAUACAAACCCAAACCAUCACUACCUGAAGGGCUAGCUGAGCUUGUAUAGUUGUAUGCAUGAGAUUGCAGGAGCCAGUUGAGCUUGUGCACAUGACAUUGCAGUAUUUCAUCAACCUAGAUGUGGCAAGCAAUGUUUUAAAACAUGGACGGGUGAGUCAACCGGCUGGCAGUUUGUUCUGGUUUUUAACGGUUAAACCGGCCGGGUCACUGUUUUUUUUUUUUUUAUUUUAUCUUCUUUAGAAUUCAAAAAUAGUUGGUAACGUAGAACUACGCAAAAUAGACCCGGAAAGUUCUAAUCUGGAAAAGGUUCUACAUUUUUCAAAAAAAAAAAAAAAAGACUUCUACAGAAAGUUUACAAUUAUUGAUUUAUCCACUAAAGAAUAAGAAAACUUUAGAGUAAUUUCAUGAAAUUUAUAAAGAAUCAGACUCAUUUCUUGAAUCAGACAACAAAAAUGAGUAUAAUUUCCCAACUAAAGAAUAUAUCACGCUACCAACUCGGUAAACGAAUGAAUAAAAGAACAAAGAUAGAGAACAACAAAGCAUCUGAACGCGCAUUUCGAUUAACAUCAUUAACAUAUCUAGUCUAUUGGGGAAUGAGGGAGUUUUCAAUUGGGUUCCAAUUGCUGAUGUGGCACGCUGUCAUUGGCCGAUUGAUAGUCGUCUGCUCAUGUGAAUGCCCGUCGUUAAUUGAAGGGAUUGUCUUGCUCGUGUGAAUUUUCAAAUUUCUUUCUUGGUGCAGUUGCUCGUGUGAAUUAAUAACCCUCCAACUUAACCACGUGUUCUCUGUAGGGAACUUUUUUUUUUUUUUAUUUAACCACAGAUUUGAUUUUUUUUAGGGAACGAUUGCACACCAUUAAUUCAUUGUAUUGGAAUCAUAAUACUACUUUGUUUGCUAUAGAAGGUUUUUUUUGGUCUCUUAUUUUAUUUAAUUAUCUUUUAUUACAGCAAGAAACGUGAACAAUUAUUCAAAUUUUACUGAGGAAAAAAAUGUUUAAGUGGGCAAAUUUUUGUUGGCUUUACUCGUCAUAUAUGUACUGAUUUGCUCUAUGAUUUUCGGCUCAGAUUUUUGUCAAGAGAGGGAAGAAAGAAAAAAUGGUGGUCAAUUCUUACUUUUAAGCAUUAUGGGCUUAUACAACUAUGCGAAACUUAAUACUUACUGAAUUUGUUGUUGACCAUUAUGCUGUUAUUGUAAGAAAACUUUUAAGAAUUAUUGCCAUUCAAGAGGUUUACUCUAUAUUUCUUGCUCAUUUAGACUGUCUGUAUUAUUUGGGUAAGAUAGCAUAUGAGUUUUUAUUUUAGGAUAUUUUGUUGCCAAGUUUGGAUGCGUCUGACAUACACAUUGUCAUGCCUUAGGUAGUGGACAUUUGUGGUGUGCAUUGAAUAACCAUUGCCAAGAUUGCUUAUUUUGUUAAUUAUAACGAUUUGUUUACAUAUUUAAAUUUGUGAAAUUUACUUUACGGGUUUUAUUCCUCAUCUCACCAUUAAAUGGUUAAAUGGAAACUUUUGAGAGUACAAAUAAAGCUUCAUGAAAACAAGAAACUAGAUUCGUGCAUAAUUUUGGUGAAAAUGGAACAAUUUGGUUUGAAGGCAAGAUUAAGGAAUCUUUGAUUUUUCUUUGUAUUAGCUUCUCACAAUUGCAACAAAUAUCUAAUGGCCUUGCUUUGAUUAUGUUCAAGUUCCCAUUUUAAACAACAAGAGAAAUGGGACAAAAAAAAAAGAA